UAGGGAAUCUUCGGCAAUGGGGGCAACCCUGACCGAGCAACGCCGCGUGAGUGAAGAAGGUUUUCGGAUCGUAAAGCUCUGUUGUAAGUCAAGAACGGGUGUGAGAGUGGAAAGUUCACACUGUGACGGUAGCUUACCAGAAAGGGACGGCUAACUACGUGCCAGCAGCCGCGGUAAUACGUAGGUCCCGAGCGUUGUCCGGAUUUAUUGGGCGUAAAGCGAGCGCAGGCGGUUUGAUAAGUCUGAAGUUAAAGGCUGUGGCUCAACCAUAGUUCGCUUUGGAAACUGUCAAACUUGAGUGCAGAAGGGGAGAGUGGAAUUCCAUGUGUAGCGGUGAAAUGCGUAGAUAUAUGGAGGAACACCGGUGGCGAAAGCGGCUCUCUGGUCUGUAACUGACGCUGAGGCUCGAAAGCGUGGGGAGCGAACAGGAUUAGGAUACCCUGGUAGUCCACGCCGUAAACGAUGAGUGCUAGGUGUUGGAUCCUUUCCGGGAUUCAGUGCCGCAGCUAACGCAUUAAGCACUCCGCCUGGGGAGUACGACCGCAAGGUUGAAAC
Molecule: ribosomal RNA, 555 nt
Filed under: uncultured bacterium
Lineage: Bacteria
Description: partial 16S ribosomal RNA
Rfam family: Bacterial small subunit ribosomal RNA
Source: RNAcentral